Molecule: long non-coding RNA, 3930 nt
Organism: Chlorocebus sabaeus (green monkey)
Lineage: Eukaryota; Metazoa; Chordata; Mammalia; Primates; Cercopithecidae
Source: RefSeq, a predicted model, not a curated record
GGCUGUCCCCGCCUGCCCCGUGGUGGGCCUCCGUUUCCCCGUUGUGCACAUGGGGAUGACGGCGAAGGUGGAGGUCACGCGGAGGGCGGCGGCCCGGCGUUGAGGCGCUUCGGGAGCGGGCUCCGCCCUGCCCAGGCCGAGCCCGGACCUCACACUGGCUCCUAGAAGCUCGAGCUCCUGCGCGGCUGCGGGGGCGGCAGGUCUCGGCCAGGGCAGGGCCGAGCAUCUGCGCUUCUCGGGCUGCGGGGACGGGCGUCGGGCCCCAGGUCAGGCUGCACGGUCUCCUCGUGGGGCAGUGCUCGGACGGGGGCUGGCAGGUCCCGCGGGGACUCCAGACGCCCAGUGUCACCAACGGGGAAACUGAGUCUCAAGACAUCUGAGGGACCUUUCCCCGAGGUCGCAGCCCCUCCCGGGAGGAGCUAACGCGCAGAGUGGGGACCCUCUUGCGGAGACCCUCCUGGGACCUCUUUCCGUAGGGACCUGGGGUGCCUCCCUCUCCCUGCUCUGCCUGCGGGCACUGAGCUUCUGAACGACUCCAGCCCCUCGCUCUCCCGGUGACCCACUGGAGAAGAGACCUGGGAGGAACCUGGGGACAAUGGGUGUGUGUCCUUGGGCCGCCAGGGUCACCUUUCAGCCUGUUUCCCCGCAGGUGAACCAAGAGCCACACCCAAGGCAGGAGAGCAAGAGUGAUGAGUACGCUGUUUCUCACCGGCCAGGGGAGGGUCUUCCGCCGCCCUCACUUCGUGAUGCUUGCUCAGCUGGUGAAGCCCACACCGAAGCCCUGCGGGCGGCCCUGGGCUCCCGCGAAGUGCCUUGCUGAGUUCCUGGGAAGGAGGCGUGCCCUCCCCAUCCCCCACUACCACACUGACUGGGGUUCUCUGCAGCCCAGGAUUGCGCACGUGUGCGCACACGGGUUCUGUGCACAUUAACACAAAAGUGUGCUUGUGGACCCUGCGUGGUACUGUGUGUGCACACAGCGCACGUCUGUGAGCUGAGGGAGUGUGCCUGGACACCAGGUGCAAGUGCACAGGUGUGUGUAUGCUGGCACAAGUGUGUGCCCCGGCGCAAGCAUGGGAACAGUAGUAUAUGGCACAAAUGUGUGUGUGCACACAUGGGUGGGAGGGCAGAAGGGUACAUGUCCACCAGUGUGCCUGUGCUCAGGCCGGCCUGUCCUGGGCCCACCCAGGCUCCUUGCCCUGGUGUGUUUGAGCCUCUCCUGGCCCCCAGAAGACUGGUGUGUGCCUAUCUUACAGCCCAGCCAGGAUUUGGACAGGGCUUCACUAUGCUGCUAGGACAGCUAGAGUGCAGGGUAGCUGGCUCCUAUCCAGGGAGGAUGCCCAUGACUGCUGACCCCCAGGUUCCACUUGAAGGGGAAGGUUCGCCAGGACCAAUGCCUGUCAGAGCUGGCAGUCCGGACUGAGGAUGCCGGGUGCCUGGUAUGGCGUCCACCUCCCCCUCCAUGGCUGGCACUGUCUGUCUGGCCACCACCUCACUCAGCCUCCUCUGACAGCUCCGUGUUCAGUGGUGGAAAGGAGGGAAAAGUGAAACCCUCUUCCCCCCAGGGCAGACCACCUCCAGGAGCCACUUUCUUGACCAUACAAGGCGUAUAUGGGGAUGCUUCUGUACUUGGACACUGCAGGGGAAUAGUCUAGCGUGGGCAGAAACCACCAGAGGAGGGGCCCCAUCCCUGUUGGUUCCUCCGAAAUCUGGGCUGAGCCUGCCUGAGUGCCCCAUAGCAAGUUAGGGAAGGUAAACCUCUCCGUGAAAGAGCCAGGAGCCCACUCCCUCAGGCUGAGCCGAUGGGUAGGGCAAGGAGGAUGCUAAGGGAUCCCCGGAAAGGGACGAGGGAAAUAGCCAAUAGCUGUCUGGGCCUAGGGCCAGGGCUCCCCUCCCUUGCCUCAUCUCUGCCCCUCCCUAGAAGAGUUCAUCGCAUGACCUUGGGCAGCUCUGGGCUCUCUCCUUCCUCCAGAGAAGCAGGACCCCGGUGAAGAGCUCUGGUCCCAGCCCUUGGCCAACUGGUCCCAGAGGGAAUAUGGGCUACAAGGUUGGGGAGUGGUUCCAAGGCCUUCAGAAGGAACAUUGAGGCAGCACCCACUAAAGCCAACCCUAGAAACACUCCUGCUGUGAAUAGUAGCAUGGACUUCUUGGGGUUUAAGCCGAAUUUCCAGGUCAUUGUCGACCUGUGGAUUUGUUGUGAGUUUCCCUGUCCUCCCACCCUUCCUCUCUACCCUCUGCAGCCUAGCUCCAAUGUCGCCUGCUCAGGAGACCAUGCCUUGCUCCCCUGCAGCCCCUGCCUGGACAGAAAAAGGCCUCUGCACCUCCUGCUCUGCUCCCAACACAGCUUCUGCUCCAGCGAAGCCCACAGGCACUCAGUCCUUGAUUCCUGCACCCAUCAACCCCGCCGAGCCGCCCUCACUGUCACCAAGGCUUCCUUUGUCCCUUAGCAACAGAACCCCAGUUUUGUUCAAGGCAUCAAUGUACCCAGCCUCACCAGCAGCUGGGGCCAGCUGUGAAACUGUUUGCCCAGGGGAUGACCGCAGGAGGCACAAUCGAGCCUCCUGGUCCUUUGGAAGGAGCAGCUGUGGCUGCCCACCUCACUAACAAGAGUCUUCCUUUCUCCUUGCUCCAGCCUGAAGUGUGGGCAUGGCAUCCCGAGGACAGCAGCCGUGUGGCCAGCAAGGGACAGGGUCCCAAGCUGAGGAUGGGAGCAGCUGCCUUGGUGCCCCAAUGACCACCAUCAGACUCAUCACCAUCGGGAGAACAAGCCCCUGUUCGCUUUAUGGGGCUGCCUCAUUGGAUUUCGUUAGGCUUUCUGUAACUCAAGCCAGUGCCACUUCUAUUGUGGCUGAUUUGGGCUCCUAAGCUCAUGGGGUGGGACAUUGUUCUAUUAGCUGUGUCCUGCCCCCCAACAAUGAUGGCUCCUUGCAGGCAGGCCCCAAGGGCACGUUGUGGCCCCACACACAGCAAGUGCCUCACACCUGGAACAGCCCAGAGGAGCUUGUGAGGAGUGAGGACGCGGGAGCCACACUCCCAGGUGCCUGUUUUCCACAUGUCCGCAUGCAGCCCAGGCUUCCAACCACAUCUUAAAAAAUAAAAAGAUGGGGAGGAGAAGAAACUUUGGUCCUAACACCAAACCAAACCCUGUCUUGCUGUGUGAUGUUCAACGUGAGGCACACCUUCUCUGGGCUUGUUUACCAAAGCCGCAAUGCAGGUGCUGAGCACUCGUGAGGCCUGCCCAAGAGCGAGGUUGGUAAAGGGCUGAGCAGAACCAAGGGCAUGGAGUGUGUGGGAGGGUGAGGUUCAUUCCCUCGUCACCCACGCAGGGGCAGUGUCAUGAGGGAGCACGUGGGAGUCUCCGGGAAGGGCCUGACACAGCCCCAGCGCGUGGCAGGGGUCUGACCAUUCAAGACUCAGUCUGUGUCAUCAGAGACCAGGCUCUUAGAAACCAACUCCAGCCUGAUACACAUAACAGCUUCCCAAGGUGUUUAACACAGAGCAGGAGUGACGAAAAGAAAAAUGAAGUGAAAGAAUGGAAAAUCCAUCAACACGCAUGUGGAGUGCUGUUCUUGCUAAUGCAUCGUCCAAGAAAAAAUACUUGGCUCCCUUCCUGGGAAUGCUCCCACCCCGCAGCCCCCGCCUGGCAUCCCUGAGCCUGAGAUCAGCAGGUGGGGACGAGGGGACCGGAGGAGUCUUCUCCCUGCAAGGGCGCGGUCUGCCCGGAUUCCACAGCCACAGCGAGGCCUGCUGCUGGGUGCAGCUGCCCUUUCCUUCCCUGCCACAGUUCAUCUCAUCGGCAAAGCCUGUCUCCUCUUUCACUCAUUCAACAAGCUUUACUUCCACGCCAGACAACUUGCUAGGAUCUGGGGACACUGUCCAGUUUGAUUUGGUGGCUGAUGACAGAACGACCCAAAUAACAGUGGCUUAACGAUU